RNAcentral lists this unclassified non-coding RNA (296 nucleotides) under Hevea brasiliensis (rubber tree). The record is from RNAcentral. Lineage: Eukaryota; Viridiplantae; Streptophyta; Magnoliopsida; Malpighiales; Euphorbiaceae.
AGCUACUCGAAACAAUAAGUGACCCGUCAUGGUUAAAAUCGACAGCAGUGACAGGAUCGGAGUGCGCCGGCAGCACCCGGAGGCACUUCCCAGACUUAAUAUCCCAAACCCGGACCGUUUCAUCGUACGAUCCCGAAGCGAUGAGGUUGGAUUGGUGGUUGAAGGUGCAGCAGAAGGCGUAGUUGGUGUGGCCGACGAGGGUUUUGACGGGGACGGCGGUGGCGAGGUCCCAGAUGCGGACGGUGCGGUCGUCGGAGGCGGAGCAGAGGUAGCGGCCGUCGGAGGAGAAGGAGAGG